RNAcentral lists this ribosomal RNA (253 nucleotides) under uncultured bacterium. RNAcentral's name for it is "partial 16S ribosomal RNA". It matches the Rfam family "Bacterial small subunit ribosomal RNA", at positions 524 to 776 of the family's 1533-position model. The record is from RNAcentral.
UACGUAGGGGGCAAGCGUUGUCCGGAUUUAUUGGGCGUAAAGAGCGUGUAGGCGGCCAGGUAGGUCAGCUGUGAAAACUCGAGGCUCAACCUCGAGACGUCGGUUGAAACCACCUGGCUAGAGUCCGGAAGAGGAGAGUGGAAUUCCUGGUGUAGCGGUGAAAUGCGUAGAUAUCUGGAGGAAUACCGGUGGCGAAGGCGGCAUCCUGGACCGACAUUGACGCUGAGGAGCGAAAGCUAGGGGAGCAAACGGG